ACGAAAGCUAAAGGAGUGAUUAGGAUUAGAUACCCUAGUAAUUUUAGCCGUAAACGAUGGAAACUCACUGCCGAGCGAAAUACAACGAGCGGUGGUCAAGCUAACGCGUGAAGUUUCCCGCCUGGGGAUUACGCUUGCAAAAGUGAAACUCAAAGGAAUUGACGGGGACCCGCACAAGCGGUGGAGUAUGUGGUUUAAUUCGAUGCAACACGAAGAACCUUACCAGGGUUUGAAAUCAUUUCAAAACUCCUUGAAAGAGGAGCCUCCUUCGGGAUGAAAUGACAGGUGGUGCAUGGCUGUCGUCAGCUCGUGUUGUGAAAUGUCGAGUUAAGUCUCGUAACGAGCGCAACCCAUGUCUCUUGUUGCUCACUGAGUGCUUAAGAGAGACUGCCGACCAACAUCGGAGGAAGGUGUGGAUGAUGUCAAGUCAGCAUGCCCCUUACAUCCUGGGCUACACACGUACUACAAUGGUAGGGACAAUGAGCUGCGAUCCUGCGAAGGCUAGCCAAUCUCAAAAACCCUAUCUCAGUUCGGAUUGUACUCUGCAACUCGAGUACAUGAAGGUGGAAUCGCUAGUAAUCGCUGGUCAGCUAUACAGCGGUGAAUACGUUCCCGGGUCUUGUACACAC
RNAcentral lists this ribosomal RNA (629 nucleotides) under uncultured marine bacterium. RNAcentral's name for it is "bacterial SSU rRNA". It matches the Rfam family "Bacterial small subunit ribosomal RNA", at positions 753 to 1390 of the family's 1533-position model. The record is from RNAcentral.